This 589-nucleotide ribosomal RNA is filed under the name uncultured fungus. Its description in RNAcentral is "SSU rRNA". It matches the Rfam family "Eukaryotic small subunit ribosomal RNA", at positions 292 to 886 of the family's 1831-position model. The record is from RNAcentral. Lineage: Eukaryota; Fungi.
GGUUCAUUCAAAUUUCUGCCCUAUCAACUUUCGAUGGUAGGAUAGUGGCCUACCAUGGUUUCAACGGGUAACGGGGAAUUAGGGUUCUAUUCCGGAGAGGGAGCCUGAGAAACGGCUACCACAUCCAAGGAAGGCAGCAGGCGCGCAAAUUACCCAAUCCCGACACGGGGAGGUAGUGACAAUAAAUACUGAUACAGGGCUCUUUUGGGUCUUGUAAUUGGAAUGAGUACAAUUUAAAUCCCUUAACGAGGAACAAUUGGAGGGCAAGUCUGGUGCCAGCAGCCGCGGUAAUUCCAGCUCCAAUAGCGUAUAUUCAAAGUUGUUGCAGUUAAAAAGCUCGUAGUUUGAACCUUGGGCCUGGCUGGCCGGUCCGCCUCACCGCGUGCACUGGUCCGGCCGGGCCCUUUCCUUCUGGGGAGCCGCAUGCCCUUCACUGGGUGUGUCGGGGAACCAGGACUUUUACUUUGAAAAAUUAGAGUGUCAAAGCAGGCCUAUGCUCGAAUACAUUAGCAUGGAAUAAUAAAAUAGGACGUGUGGUUCUAUUUGUGGUCUAGAAGUCGCCGUAAAUGAUUUAAUAAGGGGGAUAGUU